CUACACGGGUUUCUAAUCCUGUUUGCUACCCACGCUUUCGCGCCUCAGCGUCAGUGUCAGUCCAGAAGGCCGCCUUCGCCACUGGUAUUCCUCCCGAUCUCUACGCAUUUCACCGCUACACCGGGAAUUCCACCUUCCUCUCCUGCACUCUGGCCUGCCAGUUCCGAAUGCCGUUCCCGGGUUGAGCCCGGGGCUUUCACAUCCGGCUUGGCAAGCCGCCUACGCGCCCUUUACGCCCAGUAAUUCCGAUUAACGCUUGGAUCCUCCGUAUUACCGCGGCGGCUGGCAC
This 289-nucleotide ribosomal RNA is filed under the name uncultured Kushneria sp. RNAcentral describes it as "partial 16S ribosomal RNA". The record is from RNAcentral. Lineage: Bacteria; Pseudomonadati; Pseudomonadota; Gammaproteobacteria; Oceanospirillales; Halomonadaceae.